CUGGGCCGGGCUGAGCUGGCCCGCUCCGGCGCCGGGGACCACGCGCGACUGGUUAGAUCUUGUCGUGAUCUCUGGAAAACUGUGACUAUCUCACAUGUCCUGCCCAGCUCGGAUCCCCUGCGCUAACGAGCCAGGCCCCCCUUGAUUGCUGAUUUUACGCUUUUUGGACCAAUUGUGGGUCUCCGGGGGCGGGGUUUUGACAGCUCAGGCCAAGCUCCGGCCGGGAGGGGGGGCCUGGGAGAAGGUGUCGGAAGCCUCAGCAGUAAGAAAACAUGUCAACAGAAUAAAAUAUUAACCAAUGACGGGCCGCCGGGCCCCGAGACCCCUCCUCCUGCCCCGGCCCCCACCGCCCGCCCGCGCCUGCGGCUGCCUGCGCCGGACUGGAGAGCGCGGAGGGCCGACCUGACCCGCCGAAAGGGCCUGAGGCGAGGGGAGCCCGGGUCCCGGGGCCUUGGGGAAGGACCCGCAGCCGCACGCCGGCCCCAAGUGCAAAGCAUUGACACGACCCCGAGCGGAGAGGGGGCGCCCUCCUUCUCCCGCGCCCAGAGGCCCGGCCGCUCUGGCCCGAGCCCCAGCCUGGCCUCCGACCCAGCUCCGGGUCGUGGCGCCGCCUGGGGGUCCCUGCGCCCCGGAAAGAGACAGCAGGCACUGGAAAGCGAGGCCGGUGGGCGGGCGAGUCGGGAGGCUCGGGCGGCCGAGGUCCGGGAGCGGAUCCCAGGUGGCGGGAGCUGGUGAGUGGAGCCAUGGCCGAGCCCUGCUGGGGCCGGCGCGGGCGGGAGCGGGACGCGGCCUUGCGCUGGGGAAACGCGGGGACCCCCUACCCGCGCCCGCCUUCACCGGAAGACUCGGAAGGAACCUGGAGUUCUCCGCAGGCCCGGGCCCCGCCCUGAGCUUUCCAGCGGCCGGGAGGAGCGGAUCCUCGGGGCCAGGAAGGUGAGCGCACCUUUCGCUGAGCACAGGGCGGCACCGCGCGGGCGGACCCCGGAUUCUCCACCCGCGACCCAACGAAUUUUCGCCCUAUCCGGUACCGGAGACGAAAGUCUCCUUCUUCCGAAAUACCGGCUUCCUCUCUUCGCCCUGCCAACCACUUUUUUAGUUUCUUCUCAUCUCUCGGAAGCGCACGUCUCCUAAGUUAAGGAGUGCUGAGUAACGCGUGAGGGAGUUGGGGUGUCUGCGAGCACCUGUGAUUGAAGCCCCCUCUUCUGUGAUCAGUCUUCGUUUUCUGUCUUCCGGCAGCCUCAGUUUCCCCCCCAUGAAGUGAUGGUGUGUGUGUGUGUGUGUGUGUGUGUGUGUGUGUGUGUGUGUGUGUCGGGCCCCGUGUGGUGCCCUCUGUGCGCAGCGAGAGCUAUAACUCAAGGUGUGCACGGGGAGAGUGAAGCGACCACGCACCUGCUUCCAAUCGGGCUCGGGCGCGAACACUCAGGCUGAUUCCUGAAGGUCGUUUUCUGAAGGAAAAGACAGAGCAUGCACUAGCCACGGGUGACAUUCCCACCCGUACAACCGCGUGGUGGGCGCGUACAUCCAACAUUGACCCAUGCAGGCGCCCGCCCACUGCGCACACCGGUCGCAGGGCACUUCGUUGUUGAACGUUGGGAGCAGCGUUUGAAGGCCGGAUCUCUCCUGGCAGUGCGGAUUCGGGACCGGCGGAAGCAGUAUGGCCUCUGCGACCGUUAUCCCUACUUUUCGGGGCCGACCCCAGGGCCCUCACAACUCCUCAUCACCGCAUAUGUGAGCGCCGCCCCCACAGGGUUUUCUCCACGACCUCGUUCUUGGCUAGGUCGCACCUCUCUUAGUACCUCCUCUCUGGCCAGAACGAAUCUUUGACUCCGAGCUGCGCAGUCUACGCAGACGGGGCAGGAUCCACUGCAGUUUUCCACAGGCAAAUACCUGCUGGCUCCACCUUAGGCGAGAUGUGGCCUCUCGGGGAGGGACCCGUUGUGGACACGUUUGCGCAGCCGUUGCCACGCUGGCUCCCACCGGCCUCUUUCCAGAUCAUGAAGGUAUUUUUCCUUCAUCAAAUUGAGAGGAAGUCCGUAGUAAAGCUGCCCGUUGACCAGGUAGUGCCGAGAGAAUCGGUGCCCUGGCAGGAGGGACUGGCUUAUGCCACCCUGUGCAGGAUCGUCUUCUCAGCUUACAGAGCCUAGUGUGAUUCAACAACCCUCCAUCUCUGCCCCCAACAUGCCCAACUGAUCUGGUGGAGGGAACUGAAGAUGAAGGCCUCUCAGGCACCAUGGAUGGGAUGGGUGUGUGUGAAGGGGGCAGGGUCCCCAGGAGCUGCCCCAGGUCUGGCUGGACAGUUGCACGGGAAGUCCUGUUUGUGAACUCAACGUUUCCACGGCUUUUCCAUUAAACUUUACCCCAAAUCACACCUGGCUCUGUGGGUUUCCUUCCAUUCUCCAAGGCCUCCCUGGGGUCUCUGGGAAGUGUGGGCCAGGGAAGGGGGCAAAGGACUAGCAUUCGUCUCCUUCCUGCUCAAUGCACCAUUUUUUCUCCCUGUUCCUGUCUCUGUUGCCACUUACUUUAGGUCCGGAAGUGGUGGUGGUGGGGCGGGGGGACAAAAUCAGGAACGUGUCAUCUGAGGGUUCCGGCCAGGUUUCAUGAGAUACCCACCUUCACCUGACCACCCUUCCAUCUUCUGAGUUAAAAAGAGGCAAUUACAACAAGGUGCCCCCCAGAUGAGGCUUUGCCAGACUCUCCCCUUGACAGCAACCCACCAGCACAUGGCAAGCCCUGAUCCCCAGGGAGGAGGGUCCAACCCU
This 2759-nucleotide long non-coding RNA is filed under the name Homo sapiens (human). RNAcentral's name for it is "HSALNT0243458". Lineage: Eukaryota; Metazoa; Chordata; Mammalia; Primates; Hominidae. The record is from RNAcentral.